Molecule: small RNA, 548 nt
Filed under: uncultured Fusobacterium sp.
Lineage: Bacteria; Fusobacteriati; Fusobacteriota; Fusobacteriia; Fusobacteriales; Fusobacteriaceae
Description: bacterial SSU rRNA
Rfam family: Bacterial small subunit ribosomal RNA (bases 1-341)
Source: RNAcentral
CAUGCCCCUUAUACGCCGGGCUACACACGUGCUACAAUGGGUAGAACAGAGAGUUGCAAAGCCGUGAGGUGGAGCUAAUCUCAGAAAACUAUUCUUAGUUCGGAUUGUACUCUGCAACUCGAGUACAUGAAGUUGGAAUCGCUAGUAAUCGCGAAUCAGCAAUGUCGCGGUGAAUACGUUCUCGGGUCUUGUACACACCGCCCGUCACACCACGAGAGUUGGUUGCACCUGAAGUAGCAGGCCUAACCGUAAGGAGGGAUGCUCCGAGGGUGUGAUUAGCGAUUGGGGUGAAGUCGUAACAAGGUAUCCGUACGGGAACGUGCGGAUGGAUCACCUCCUUUCUAAGGAGACAAUGUCUUUCUCUAUUCUAUUGGUAAUGUUCUUACAUUACUUCUGAACAUUGGAAACUAUAUAGUAGAACAAAAAUAACUCUAAACAAUUUCUUAGAGUUAGCUGUCAAAAAAAUAGAUUAAAAUAAUUAAGGGCACACAAAGGAUGCCUAGGUAGUAAGAGCCGAUGAAGGACGUGGUAAGCUGCGAUAAGCCUAG